UCACUGAGAACUUACUUUCCAGAUGGAGAACAAUCCACAGAAUCAAAACCAGCGGAAAUUUCAUGCUAAACGGUAAUGUGUUGACGAUCCUGAAGAUUCGAAUCCGUCCAGAUAUGGGGCCCUGGUAUAGAAUUGUGAUUUCUCGCAGUUAUGGUUAAUAAAUAAACUACCUAAGUUGUCUGUUUUGCAAAAGCUUUAUAAAACGUUCCUACUGCUUUUGUUGACCUUAUUUUAUACUGUUUCAUACUGCUCGUUUUUUUUAGAAGAAGAUUAAAUUUGCUUUGUCUUAUCUGUUUGGCGUUUUUCUAGUUCCAUUCCGCUUUGCUUUCUCCUUGUUAUGUUUUAUUUACUAGGAAGAGUAGUACCUGUUGUCCGAAGUCAGGGAGGGCCGACCGUAGAAGUUAAGGUGAAAGCGUGAGGAACUUCUUGCUAGUAACCCUUGAACGUAUGUCAAAAAAAGGUCUGAUUGUUUGACGGUGAGAAUAAAUUUAAGCACCGCUUACGCUGGUUUUAUCAGCGUCGGAGUUGGAUUCGUAAUCAGUAGUUCAGAGCAAGAAUGCCUGAGCAGGUCGAGGAAGAUCUCCUCGGCUGCAAAUCAGAGCAGAUUCCAGCUCAGGAUUUCGUCAACCUGAAGACAAGAAAUUGUCACAAAGAGCUGCAAUCUGCUUUCCUUUUAACCGGACGGGCCACGGACGUUUGUGAAAUCGCGAAAACUUUCUUUUCGGCAUGCAAAGCCUUACACGUUUCUUUGCGAAACGUUUUGACUUGUUUUUGUUGUGGGAUGAAACUCGGUUGAAACUCGAUGCCACACGUACUCGACACUGAGCCUUGCAAAGCAGUUUUGGAGGAGUCGUGCGGAUAAUGGUAUGGUAUUGUUUUAAUGGAGAAGUACACUCUUUCCAGACGAAUGAUGGACGGAGGAUCCCCAUUUUUGCUUCUAGAGGAACUGGAACUAGCUUCUACCGAACCGCUAUCUGAAUUCUGUCAGCUGGAGAUGCCUUCAAUCUGGAAGUCCCUCGUCUCAUCAUUUUCAUCAAACUUGUUCCCUUCACUGUUUCAACACCCACAACCAAAUUGGUAAGCUUCGCGAACUUGUUCACUGGCAGCCCUUCUCACGAACGAGUGAGGUGUGAGUACCUUUGUGGUGUGUUGAAGAACUAACUUCUUCUUUCUUUUCAUCAGAUUGAUGCCUACAAUCAACUAAAUUAUAGCAACGGGGCUCUCUCGCUGUUUGCUGAUCGUUGGUGUCUUCAGAAGUGUUUGGUAACGCUGCACGUGGAUGCGCCUUUCUAUGGUAAUACGAUUCAUGUCAAGCAUUGCCUUGAUCGUGAACUGAAAGGGCUUCGUAAAGGCCAGAUUUGAGGAUUUAACUGUUUUUGAUGAGGUGUCGCAUUUGUAUUGUUGAUCAACCCAUGGAUAAAAACAUUAAAAUAACUUGUAUUAUUAAAAACAUAUUUUAAUUUCAGCUCAGCUUUCAAGCUUAUAUACAGUUCAACUGUAGUAUACACAUAUACAAGCCCAGAAUUUUGAACGAAGCCAAUAUGAUUAUAUUCUCAAAGAAACUGGGGUAAGAGAAUCGCAUGCAUGCGUUGUAAUUUCCACGAACGGGUCUUAAUAAAAAAAAAAAAAAAAGGUUGCAGAAGUUUAACGUAAA
This is a long non-coding RNA of Pocillopora damicornis (cauliflower coral), 1654 nucleotides long. The record is from RefSeq and is a predicted model, not a curated record. NCBI's taxonomy places the organism in Eukaryota, Metazoa, Cnidaria, Anthozoa, Scleractinia, Pocilloporidae.